This is a non-coding RNA of Prunus mume (Japanese apricot), 750 nucleotides long. The record is from RefSeq and is a predicted model, not a curated record. NCBI's taxonomy places the organism in Eukaryota, Viridiplantae, Streptophyta, Magnoliopsida, Rosales, Rosaceae.
UUGCGCCUUUACAAUUUUCCCCAAACCAUCAGACUUCCUGAGUCAACAACCGUCAAAAUCUUUCACUCGUCUUCUUCGCAAAGCACAAACACAGCCCUGGCCCUAGCCAUGGCUAUCAACAUCAGAGACUACGAAUUCAAUUGCGACACCCACGACCUCUACAGAGUAGAUUUCUUCGAUGACAAUAUCGAAACCCUAGUCACGCACACUCCGUCCAAGGUGAGGUCUUGGAUCCAGAAAAUCAAAUACAUACACCGUUUCCGGCUCCACGAACUCAUCGUCGGCCUCGACGUUGAGUAGCGCCCAUCCUUCACCCAAGGCGUCACCAACCCUGUAGCAACCCUGCAACUAUGCGUGGGCCACAAUUGCCUCAUUUUUCAGCUCUGCUACUGCGAUCGGAUCCCCAAGUGCCUUUUCGACUUUCUUGCGAAUCCGAGCUUUACCUUUGUGGGCGUCGGGGUAGGGCAAGAUGUUCGAAAGCUGGCGGAUGAUUAUGGCCUGGAGGUAGCGAAUUCUGUGGAUCUUAGGGUUUUUGAGGCGAGGCGCUACGGGCGGGACCGGCCCCGAAGCGUGAGCCUGAAGGACAUGGCAUCGGAGGUUCUAGGGCAGGAAUUUCAGAAGCCGAAGAGUAUUACUUUGAGUCACUGGGAAAAGCCAUACCUCUCCCCUACGCAAGUCAAGUAUGCUUGUGUUGAUGCCUUUGUUUCUUUCGAAAUUGGCAGGGUCUUGAUCGCAGCAGAGGACUAAAUA